GACGAACGCUGGCGGCGUGCUUAACACAUGCAAGUCGAGCGGUAAGGCCCUUUCGGGGGUACACGAGCGGCGAACGGGUGAGUAACACGUGGGUGACCUGCCCUCAGCUCUGGGAUAAGCCUGGGAAACCGGGUCUAAUACCGGAUAUGACUCCAUGACGCAUGUUGUGGGGUGGAAAGCCUUGUGCGGCUGAGGAUGGGCCCGCGGCCUAUCAGCUUGUUGGUGGGGGAUGGCCUACCAAGGCGACGACGGGUAGCCGGCCUGAGAGGGCGACCGGCCACACUGGGACUGAGACACGGCCCAGACUCCUACGGGAGGCAGCAGUGGGGAAUCUUGCGCAA
RNAcentral lists this ribosomal RNA (341 nucleotides) under uncultured bacterium. Its description in RNAcentral is "bacterial SSU rRNA". It matches the Rfam family "Bacterial small subunit ribosomal RNA", at positions 28 to 371 of the family's 1533-position model. The record is from RNAcentral.